UCUCCGUUGGUGAACCAGCGGAGGGAUCAUUACCGAUUUUACAACUCUCAAACCCUAUGUGAACCUUACCAAUCGUUGUCACGGCGGACCUCGACCGCCCGGGGUACCAAGCUCUCGUUUUUUCAGCUCUAUUCUCUCUGAGUCGCACAAACAAAGAAAUUAAAACUUUCAAUUACGGAUCUCUUGGUUCUUGCAUCGAUUAAGAACGCAGC
RNAcentral lists this unclassified non-coding RNA (212 nucleotides) under plant metagenome. RNAcentral describes it as "partial contains small subunit ribosomal RNA, internal transcribed spacer 1, and 5.8S ribosomal RNA". The record is from RNAcentral.